This 200-nucleotide ribosomal RNA is filed under the name uncultured bacterium. RNAcentral describes it as "partial 16S ribosomal RNA". It matches the Rfam family "Bacterial small subunit ribosomal RNA", at positions 29 to 226 of the family's 1533-position model. The record is from RNAcentral.
AGUGAACGCUGGCGGUAGGCCUAACACAUGCAAGUCGAACGGCAGCACAAGGGAGCUUGCUCCCUGGGUGGCGAGUGGCGGACGGGUGAGGAAUACAUCGGAAUCUACCUUGUCGUGGGGGAUAACCUCGGGAAACCGGGACUAAUACCGCAUACGACCUUCGGUGAAGUAGGGGAUCGCAAGACCUUACGCGAUUAGAU